This 318-nucleotide long non-coding RNA is filed under the name Amborella trichopoda. RNAcentral describes it as "long non-coding RNA (ATRI_LNC002499)". The record is from RNAcentral. Lineage: Eukaryota; Viridiplantae; Streptophyta; Magnoliopsida; Amborellales; Amborellaceae.
AUCUGAACCCAAAUUUAUUUAAAAAAUAAAAGAAAAAGUGGCAUUGUGAAAUAGAGAAUAAAGGAAUCACAUAAAACCAAAUAAUUGUAUUAAAAUUUCAAUUGAAAGUCGGGCAUUAUUUUUUCAGCUAUAUUCAUUGCAACUUCUUCAAGUUAUAGAUCUAAAUAAUAAAAAUUGUGUAGUGAAACCCAUUUAUAACUAUCUAAUUCAAUUUUCUUUCAGAAUCAAUGAUAAAAGAAAGUAAUAAAAUCCAAUUUAACCAUUGUUUUCUCUGUUUUUGUGAUUUAAUUCAGAAGAAAAUUGGGUAAAAGGGCCUAG